Molecule: ribosomal RNA, 497 nt
Filed under: uncultured bacterium
Lineage: Bacteria
Description: partial 16S ribosomal RNA
Rfam family: Bacterial small subunit ribosomal RNA
Source: RNAcentral
GACGAACGCUGGCUGCGUGCCUAAUACAUGCAAGUCGAACGCUGAAGAGAGGAGCUUGCUCUUCUUGGAUGAGUUGCGAACGGGUGAGUAACGCUUAGGUAACCUGCCUUGUCGCGGGGGUUAACUAUUGGCAACGAUAGCUAAUACCGCAUAACAAUGGCUUACACCUGUCAUUUAUUUGAAAGGUUCAAUUGCUCUACUUCACGAUGGACCUGCGUUGUAUUAGCUUGUAGGUGAGGUAAUGGCUCCCCUAGGCGACGAUACAUAGCCGACCUGAGAGGGAGAGCGGCGACACUGAGACUGGGACAGGGACAAGACUCAUACGGGAAGGAGCAGUAGGGAAGAGUCGGAAAGAGGGACAAGCCUGAGCGAGAAACGCCGAGGGAGUGAAGAAGGUGAUCGGAUCGUAAAGCGCUGUCGGAAGUCAAGAACGGGUGUGAGAGUGGAAAGUUCACAUUGUGAAGGUAGCUUACCAGAAAGGGACGGCUAAUUACGUG